UACGGGGGGGGCAAGCGUUGUUCGGAAUUACUGGGCGUAAAGGGUUCGUAGGUGGCUGGCUAAGUCAGACGUGAAAUCCCUCAGCUCAACUGGGGAGGGUCAUUCGAUACUGUUCGACUCGAAGGCAGGAGAGGGAAGUGGAAUUCCCGGUGUAGUGGUGAAAUGCGUAGAUAUCGGGAGGAACACCUGUGGCGAAAGCGGCGCACUGGACCACAACUGACGCUGAGGCGCGAAAGCUAGGGUAGCAAACGGG
RNAcentral lists this ribosomal RNA (253 nucleotides) under uncultured bacterium. Its description in RNAcentral is "partial 16S ribosomal RNA". It matches the Rfam family "Bacterial small subunit ribosomal RNA", at positions 524 to 776 of the family's 1533-position model. The record is from RNAcentral.